AUGCCGACGUGGUUGCCGCUCAUGUCGUUGAACUCGGAGUUGAGGAUGGUGUCGAACUCGACGGCGAAGAGGUGGUUGGUGGCGUUGCCGUUGUUGGCGGAGCCGACGAGGCCGAGGAACUGGCCCGGCAGCGCGGAGGUGAAGUUGCGGCUCUUGGCGACGACGAAGGCCAUGCCGUGGCUGCUGAGCGUGUCGUAG
Molecule: ribosomal RNA, 198 nt
Filed under: Triticum aestivum (bread wheat)
Lineage: Eukaryota; Viridiplantae; Streptophyta; Magnoliopsida; Poales; Poaceae
Description: partial small subunit ribosomal RNA
Source: RNAcentral